Molecule: long non-coding RNA, 252 nt
Filed under: Coffea arabica (coffee)
Lineage: Eukaryota; Viridiplantae; Streptophyta; Magnoliopsida; Gentianales; Rubiaceae
Description: long non-coding RNA (CARA_LNC004950)
Source: RNAcentral
GAGGAUCUUUGUUAAAGCUGAAAACCUUUCCAAAUGCUUAUUCGAGGCAAAUACUAUCAAUUUGAUAGAGAAAAGUCCUGGCUAAAUCAAGCUAUAUCAAGUUCUAAGAAUACUUAUAGAGACAUAAAAAUGCUAUUCUUCUAUAUCAAGUUCUAAGAAUACUUAUAGAGACAUAAAAAUGCUAUUCUUUCACUUGGGAACCAUGAGAGCAUGCCUCUUGCAAAGAGGAUUAACCAUUAGCUUCCCAAACAC